UAUUGGACAAUGGGGGAAACCCUGAUCCAGCAAUGCCGCGUGAGUGAUGAAGGCCUUAGGGUUGUAAAGCUCUUUCGGCGGGGACGAUGAUGACGGUACCCGCAGAAGAAGCCCCGGCUAACUUCGUGCCAGCAGCCGCGGUAAGACGAAGGGGGCUAGCGUUGUUCGGAAUUACUGGGCGUAAAGCGCACGUAGGCGGCCUUUCAAGUCAGAUGUGAAAGCCCCGAGCUUAACUCGGGAACUGCAUUUGAUACUGUUGGGCUAGAGACCGGGAGAGGAUAGCGGAAUUCCCAGUGUAGAGGUGAAAUUCGUAGAUAUUGGGAAGAACACCAGUGGCGAAGGCGGCUAUCUGGACCGGUACUGACGCUGAGGUGCGAAAGCGUGGGGAGCAAACAGG
RNAcentral lists this ribosomal RNA (397 nucleotides) under uncultured bacterium. RNAcentral describes it as "bacterial SSU rRNA". It matches the Rfam family "Bacterial small subunit ribosomal RNA", at positions 362 to 776 of the family's 1533-position model. The record is from RNAcentral.